UGUGACGGAGGCGCCCACGUGCUCGGCCCGCCCGUGUUACGGCCGCCUACCGGCUGCAGAGGAGAAGGGAGGAAAGGGUGGAAUCUCAACACAAGUGGUAGGCAACUUUGAAAACAAUAAAUAGAUGAAGAAUGGAGAGACCUCAAAAGGAGAGUCUGGGAACCCUAGCCAAAGACCCACAUAUGCUACCAUGUGGCCCUCCCUACUCAACCUCAGUAUAUCUUUACUGAAAAACACAUGCCAAAGAACAACACCCAGAGAGCUGGAAACACUGGAAAAGAUUUCGUGAUGCCCCCAACUUUACUUUAUAGGGAAGGCUAUAAUGUGGUAAAAUCGUGGGGACUUAAUUCCAUCAUAUGGAGGUUACUGAAUGUAUCAGAGACAGCCUGCAGUUCAUCACCACACAAAUUAGGAGCAACGUAAGAAGAGAAAAAGAAAAAGGAAUUACAGAUUAAAAAAUGCAAGAGAAUAUAAACAAAUAAAAAUAUGUUCAACUGGAAUUUGUAUUGGGAUUGUAUUAAAUGGAUGAACUAAUUUGUGAAGAAAUGAUAUCAUUCCAUCCAAGA
This 566-nucleotide long non-coding RNA is filed under the name Homo sapiens (human). Its description in RNAcentral is "HSALNT0369506". The record is from RNAcentral. Lineage: Eukaryota; Metazoa; Chordata; Mammalia; Primates; Hominidae.